GUUAAAAUAAUUUAAUUUAAAAUAUUGAUUUUGUAAAUCAAAUUUGGCCACACCUUUUAACA
RNAcentral lists this transfer RNA (62 nucleotides) under Rhipicephalus evertsi. RNAcentral describes it as "tRNA-Thr". Lineage: Eukaryota; Metazoa; Arthropoda; Arachnida; Ixodida; Ixodidae. The record is from RNAcentral.